This is a long non-coding RNA of Xyrauchen texanus (razorback sucker), 520 nucleotides long. RefSeq lists it as uncharacterized. The transcript has 3 exons. The record is from RefSeq and is a predicted model, not a curated record. NCBI's taxonomy places the organism in Eukaryota, Metazoa, Chordata, Actinopteri, Cypriniformes, Catostomidae.
GCAAGCUAUAGAAAUAAGUUUUUAAUAUAAUAAAAGUGUAGAGCAACAACCAAGGGUGUAAGGUAAAGGCUGAAUAUUGUAGAUUUAUUACAAUAUGUUGCAUGUUUGAAUUAAAAUACCUGUGGAUAUGCAACUUCCCACUCAUGAAAGUUUUAUGUUCUACAAAGGAGCACACUCUACAAAGGCCUGACUGGAGAUUUGCCUGAUCUAUCCGUCCUUCAGGUGAGAGCGGCUCACUUAUAGAACAGGUGAAGCAAGUUGGGACAACGUUGAAGACGUUUGCUCGCACUGGGCAAUCAGUAGGUGCAGAUCAGACCCUAAUGCUGCAACGUCUUGGAGAGUUUGGCAAUGUUGUGCGUAGCAUGGACAACAAAAUGGACACUAUGCUGCAACAUUUCAGUGCCAAUGUGUCUGUUGGAGAGUUAUCCCUGCCAGGGGAUCUGUUACUCCCCCUAGACACCCAGGAAGAUUUGGCGUUGCUUGACAACAGUUUGAGGCAGGAUAAAGAGCUCCAGCAACG